UACGUAGGGUCCAAGCGUUGUCCGGAUUUAUUGGGCGUAAAGAGCUCGUAGGCGGCUCGGUAAGUCGGAUGUGAAAACUCGGGGCUCGACCCCGAGACGCCAUCCGAUACUGCUGUGGCUUGAGUCUGGUAGGGGAGAACGGAAUUCCUGGUGUAGCGGUGAAAUGCGCAGAUAUCAGGAGGAACACCGGUGGCGAAGGCGGUUCUCUGGGCCAGUACUGACGCUGAGGAGCGAAAGCGUGGGUAGCAAACAGG
RNAcentral lists this ribosomal RNA (254 nucleotides) under uncultured bacterium. RNAcentral describes it as "partial 16S ribosomal RNA". It matches the Rfam family "Bacterial small subunit ribosomal RNA", at positions 524 to 776 of the family's 1533-position model. The record is from RNAcentral.